RNAcentral lists this ribosomal RNA (545 nucleotides) under uncultured archaeon. RNAcentral describes it as "bacterial SSU rRNA". It matches the Rfam family "Archaeal small subunit ribosomal RNA", at positions 457 to 997 of the family's 1478-position model. The record is from RNAcentral.
GUCAGCAGCCGCGGUAAUACCGGCGGCUCGAGUGGUGGCCACUUUAUUGGGCUUAAAGCGUUCGUAGCUGGGUUAUUAAGUCCCUUGGGAAAUCCGACAGCUUAACUGUCGGGCGUCUAAGAGAUACUGGUAAUCUUGGAACCGGGAGAGGUGAGGGGGUACUUCGGGGGUAGGAGUGAAAUCCUGUAAUCCUCGAGGGACCACCUGUGGCGAAGGCGCCUCACCAGAACGGCUUCGAUAGUGAGGGACGAAAGCUGGGGGAGCAAACCGGAUUAGAUACCCGGGUAGUCCCAGCCGUAAACGAUGUGCGUUAGGUGUAUCGGUGACCACGAGUCACCGAGGUGCCGAAGGGAAACCGUGAAACGUACCGCCUGGGAAGUACGGUCGCAAGGCUGAAACUUAAAGGAAUUGGCGGGGGAGCACCACAACAGGUGGAGCCUGCGGGUUUUUAAAUUGGACUCAACGCCGGAAAUCUCACCGGAUAAGACAGCAGAAUGAUUGCCGGGCUGAAGACUCUGCAUGACUAGCUGAGAGGUGGUGCAUGG